Long non-coding RNA from Sander lucioperca (pikeperch), 272 nucleotides. RefSeq lists it as uncharacterized. The record is from RefSeq and is a predicted model, not a curated record. The transcript is spliced from 3 exons. Lineage: Eukaryota; Metazoa; Chordata; Actinopteri; Perciformes; Percidae.
UAAAAAUGGACCACAUAAGGUUGCAGAUGAAAUACUGCACAGAAAAUGUAUAUUACUGCAUUUAUUUUUCAGAUUUUUACUUAUAAAUUAAAUGACAGUGUUGUUGAGAAGUUGCAAAAGCAAUAUCAUGACAAACAGGAUUGAUCUGCAUGCAAAAUAAGAACAAAACAUACUUAAACAUGUAUUAAAAAAACUUUAUUUUCCAAUUCAUGGUGGCAAUUUCUUUUCACUUUGUCCUAUUUGGUUUUUUGAUAUUUGUCUACAAAUAUACA